This 672-nucleotide long non-coding RNA is filed under the name Nicotiana tabacum (common tobacco). RNAcentral describes it as "long non-coding RNA (NTAB_LNC014250)". Lineage: Eukaryota; Viridiplantae; Streptophyta; Magnoliopsida; Solanales; Solanaceae. The record is from RNAcentral.
CAUUCCUCCCUUUUCCCGUUUUCUUCUUUUACAACGUCUUCUCUCUUCACACGAACGGAGCAAAUCAACGGAAUAACUGGCUAUAUAGUCCGACGCCUUCUCUCUUUUAAGGUAUGUUUAUAUAUCUAUAUUUUAAGAUUUCUCAAACCCCAUACACCUACUUGAGUUGUAUUUUUGGAUUUAUAUUCUAACAAUUUGAUGGUUAUUGUGUCGUAUUGUGAUAGGUAAUGAGUGGAACCUUUAAGAUUAUAGCCACAGUUCAUCGAAAAGACAUUACAAAAAUAAGAUAAAAAUUCUUUCAAUAGUUUUAAAAAAGCAUACAAGUUUGUUUUCUUGUCUUGUUGCUUUGAAUUUUUCCCUCUUGUUAUAUGCUAAAAAUUAUUUUAUACAUUUUCUCUCUUUGAACGUUCUUCUAGCAUUUUUACAAGUCAAACUUGCAUCUUAGUAUUAACGUUUCUUUUGGUUCCCUCAUUCUUUUGUACUAAUUAUUGUUUCUUUUGAAUUUACAUGGUGCAUUUUAAUCUAUUGGAUGCAAGAAGAUCAAGGAUUCAUCCUUGAUGCAAAGAGUGAAAUUACUUCAUCAUUGGUUACAGAAGAUCAUCUGGUGGCAACAUCUUCAGUCCCCAGAUCAAAUACUUCGUUAAAUAACCUACUCUACUUUAGAUAGGCAGU